CAGCCGCCGCGGGAACACGUAGGGUGCGAGCGUUGUCCGGAAUUACUGGGCGUAAAGAGCUCGUAGGUGGUUUGUCGCGUCGUUUGUGUAAUACCGCAGCUUAACUGCGGGGUUGCAGGCGAUACGGGCAUAACUUGAGUGCUGUAGGGGAGACUGGAAUUCCUGGUGUAGCGGUGGAAUGCGCAGAUAUCAGGAGGAACACCGAUGGCGAAGGCAGGUCUCUGGGCAGUAACUGACGCUGAGGAGCGAAAGCAUGGGUAGCGAACAGGAUUAGAUACCCCGGUAGUCCCUGUCUCUUAAC
This 301-nucleotide ribosomal RNA is filed under the name uncultured bacterium. RNAcentral describes it as "partial 16S ribosomal RNA". It matches the Rfam family "Bacterial small subunit ribosomal RNA", at positions 509 to 807 of the family's 1533-position model. The record is from RNAcentral.